This 486-nucleotide ribosomal RNA is filed under the name uncultured bacterium. RNAcentral's name for it is "partial 16S ribosomal RNA". It matches the Rfam family "Bacterial small subunit ribosomal RNA", at positions 30 to 507 of the family's 1533-position model. The record is from RNAcentral.
AUUGAACGCUGGCGGCAUGCCUUACACAUGCAAGUCGAACGGCAGCACGGGUGCUUGCACCUGGUGGCGAGUGGCGAACGGGUGAGUAAUACAUCGGAACAUGUCCUGUAGUGGGGGAUAGCCCGGCGAAAGCCGGAUUAAUACCGCAUACGAUCCACGGAUGAAAGCGGGGGACCUUCGGGCCUCGCGCUAUAGGGUUGGCCGAUGGCUGAUUAGCUAGUUGGUGGGGUAAAGGCCUACCACGGCGACGAUCAGUAGCUGGUCUGAGAGGACGACCAGCCACACUGGGACUGAGACACGGCCCAGACUCCUACGGGAGGCAGCAGUGGGGAAUUUUGGACAAUGGGCGAAAGCCUGAUCCAGCAAUGCCGCGUGUGUGAAGAAGGCCUUCGGGUUGUAAAGCACUUUUGUCCGGAAAGAAAUCCUUGACUCUAAUACAGUCGGGGGAUGACGGUACCGGAAGAAUAAGCACCGGCUAACUACGUG